GGGGAUGUAGCUCAGCGGUAGAGCACUUGCCUGGCACGUGUUGGGCCCUGGGCUCCAUCUCCA
RNAcentral lists this transfer RNA (63 nucleotides) under Heterocephalus glaber (naked mole-rat). It matches the Rfam family "tRNA". From Rfam's summary of the family: Transfer RNA (tRNA) molecules are approximately 80 nucleotides in length. Their secondary structure includes four short double-helical elements and three loops (D, anti-codon, and T loops). Lineage: Eukaryota; Metazoa; Chordata; Mammalia; Rodentia; Bathyergidae. The record is from Rfam by way of RNAcentral.